UACGUAGGGUGCAAGCGUUGUCCGGAAUUACUGGGCGUAAAGAGCUCGUAGGUGGCUUGUCGCGUUGUUCGUGAAAACUCACAGCUUAACUGUGGGCGUGCGGGCGAUACGGGCAGACUUGAGUACUGCAGGGGAGACUGGAAUUCCUGGUGUAGCGGUGGAAUGCGCAGAUAUCAGGAGGAACACCGGUGGCGAAGGCGGGUCUCUGGGCAGUAACUGACGCUGAGGAGCGAAAGCGUGGGGAGCGAACAGG
Molecule: ribosomal RNA, 253 nt
Filed under: uncultured bacterium
Lineage: Bacteria
Description: partial 16S ribosomal RNA
Rfam family: Bacterial small subunit ribosomal RNA
Source: RNAcentral